Molecule: ribosomal RNA, 225 nt
Filed under: uncultured Thorsellia sp.
Lineage: Bacteria; Pseudomonadati; Pseudomonadota; Gammaproteobacteria; Enterobacterales; Thorselliaceae
Description: partial 16S ribosomal RNA
Rfam family: Bacterial small subunit ribosomal RNA
Source: RNAcentral
CAUGCAGGCGGUUUCAUAAGUCAGAUGUGAAAUCCCCGGGCUUAACGUGGGCAUUGCCUUUGAAACUAUGUAACUAGAGUUCUGUAGAGGGGGGUAGAAUUCCAGGUGUAGCGGUGAAAUGCGUAGAGAUCUGGAGGAAUACCGAUUGCGAAGGCAGCCCCCUGGACAGUGACUGACGCUCAUAUGCGAAAGCGUGGGGAUCAAACAGGAUUAGAUACCCUAGUA